AUUGAACGCUGGCGGCAGGCCUAACACAUGCAAGUCGGACGGUAGCACAGAGAGCUUGCUCUCGGGUGACGAGUGGCGGACGGGUGAGUAAUGUCUGGGGAUCUGCCCGAUAGAGGGGGAUAACCACUGGAAACGGUGGCUAAUACCGCAUAACGUCGCAAGACCAAAGAGGGGGACCUUCGGGCCUCUCACUAUCGGAUGAACCCAGAUGGGAUUAGCUAGUAGGCGGGGUAACGGCCCACCUAGGCGACGAUCCCUAGCUGGUCUGAGAGGAUGACCAGCCACACUGGAACUGAGACACGGUCCAGACUCCUACGGGAGGCAGCAGUGGGGAAUAUUGCACAAUGGGCGCAAGCCUGAUGCAGCCAUGCCGCGUGUAUGAAGAAGGCCUUCGGGUUGUAAAGUACUUUCAGCGGGGAGGAAGGCGAUGUGGUUAAUAACCGCAUUGAUUGACGUUACCCGCAGAAGAAGCACCGGCUAACUCCGUGCCAGCAGCCGCCGUAA
Molecule: ribosomal RNA, 504 nt
Filed under: uncultured bacterium
Lineage: Bacteria
Description: partial 16S ribosomal RNA
Rfam family: Bacterial small subunit ribosomal RNA
Source: RNAcentral